RNAcentral lists this ribosomal RNA (490 nucleotides) under uncultured bacterium. RNAcentral's name for it is "partial 16S ribosomal RNA". It matches the Rfam family "Bacterial small subunit ribosomal RNA", at positions 28 to 507 of the family's 1533-position model. The record is from RNAcentral.
GAUGAACGCUAGCUACAGGCUUAACACAUGCAAGUCGCGGGGCAGCAUGGGGGUUGCUUGCAACUCCCGAUGGCGACCGGCGCACGGGUGAGUAACGCGUAUCCAACCUGCCCUUCACCACGGGAUAACCCGGCGAAAGUCGGACUAAUACCGUAUGUUGUCCAUUGACGGCAUCCGAUUUGGACGAAAGGCUUUGCGGUGAAGGAUGGGGAUGCGUCCGAUUAGCCAGACGGCGGGGUAACGGCCCACCGUGGCGACGAUCGGUAGGGGUUCUGAGAGGAAGGUCCCCCACACUGGAACUGAGACACGGUCCAGACUCCUACGGGAGGCAGCAGUGAGGAAUAUUGGUCAAUGGGCGUAAGCCUGAACCGGCCAAGUAGCGUGCAGGAUGACGGCCCUAUGGGUUGUAAACUGCUUUUAUGCGGGGAUAAAGUGGCCCACGUGUGGGCUUUUGCAGGUACCGCAUGAAUAAGGACCGGCUAAUUCCGUG